This 483-nucleotide ribosomal RNA is filed under the name uncultured bacterium. Its description in RNAcentral is "partial 16S ribosomal RNA". It matches the Rfam family "Bacterial small subunit ribosomal RNA", at positions 29 to 506 of the family's 1533-position model. The record is from RNAcentral.
AUUGAACGCUGGCGGCAUGCUUUACACAUGCAAGUCGAACGGCAGCGCGGGCUUCGGCCUGGCGGCGAGUGGCGAACGGGUGAGUAAUGCAUCGGAACGUGCCCAGUAGUGGGGGAUAGCCCGGCGAAAGCCGGAUUAAUACCGCAUACGACCUGAGGGUGAAAGCGGGGGACCGAAAGGCCUCGCGCUAUUGGAGCGGCCGAUGUCGGAUUAGCUAGUUGGUGGGGUAAAGGCUUACCAAGGCGACGAUCCGUAGCUGGUCUGAGAGGACGACCAGCCAAACUGGGACUGAAACACGGCCCAACCCCCCACGGGAGGCCGCGGGGGGGAAUUUGGGACAAGGGGGGAAACCCUGUCCCAGCCAUGCCGGGGGGGGGAAAAAGGCCUUCGGGUUGAAAACCGCUUUUGUUCGGGAAGAAAUCCUCUGGGCUAAAACCCCGGGGGGAUGACGGUACCGAAAAAAUAAGCACCGGCUAACUACGG